Bombyx mori (domestic silkworm) is the source of this 2178-nucleotide long non-coding RNA. RefSeq lists it as uncharacterized. The transcript has 2 exons. The record is from RefSeq and is a predicted model, not a curated record. NCBI's taxonomy places the organism in Eukaryota, Metazoa, Arthropoda, Insecta, Lepidoptera, Bombycidae.
GAUAUCGCUGUUCAGACCGACACAGCUAUUCCAUGCGAACAGUACGAGGCGCGAUGUCCGGGAUGGGCCUUGAGCGAGCGAGGAAAUAAUUUUAAAAACAAAAACCACCUCCUAUACUAAUAUUGACGCCAUUUGUUGUUAAUAGGGAUGCAGUAAAAGCUCCUUUUUCGCGCUUCCUUCAAUCGAGGAUAAAAAAAAACGCGAUACAAUUCCUAUAUUCGCGGCUAAAGAUUUCCAUGUUCGCGCAUCUAAUGGGUACAGAGGUAUAUACACGUUGAUAAAAAGGAUAUAUGGAGGAAAUAUCUAUGCUGGUAAACUCAAUGGUUUAUGUCAACUAAAGCGGGAGAAUACGGGGCUCUAACCUGACAACGUUACUAACACUAAGCCCAGCAAGAGCAGUGCUUCGCAGAAUCUACCACCGGAUCGGAAAUGCGACCCAAUGAGAAGAUCCGGCGAGAAACUCAAUGGGCUGUGUCUGAGAGUUAAUUUGCUCACCGAGCCCUUCGUCGCAAGCGACGGGUUCGACGAGAACGAUGACCGGUUCUUGAGGUACCCAAAAGCAACGAUAGCAGAUCUGGAGAUCCGAAAUAACGUGUUACCCAGUAGUGUGGGUUAACAAUACGUCUUACCACAUGUAAACGUUCAAGUAAAUUUUACAUUAACAUAAUUCAUGAAAAACAAUAUACAACUUUAUCAGCUCAUUUCUCACAGUUCAAUUAGCAUAAACUAUUUAUGCUAAUAAGAUGCUCAUUGUUGUUUUGUUCUUUCAGCUAAAAAAAACCUAUUUGUUAAUUUUUUAAAUAAAAACAAGAAUAUAUCUUAAUCGUCUAUCGGUUUUAAAGAUUUUAAUAUGUUUGCUGAUUAAAUACAAAUAAAAUGUAUAUUAGUGUGUAGUGUAGUUUGUUUUGGUACCUGUCAGCUACGGCGCAGCAUCUAUGAGCUUGUCCUCCCUUUCCGAACUUGAGAGACUGUCCUCCGAAGGCCCUCUGGUAAAUCUUUCCCUCCGGGGUGCGGGAGAAUGGCAUUCCGUAGUUGUCCAGUUCGAUUACUGCAUGAGGCGCUUCUUUAGUCAUGUAGUGAAUGGCAUCCUACGACAGACAACAUUACAAUAGUUUCUUGAACUUCAAAAGUUUAUGUUAGCCGUAUACUAUGCGUUUAAAAAUGCGGUGUGUGUAAAAUUUUUAGAUUCAGAUCGGAUAUUGUAGUUUUUUUUUUGCUUAGAUGGGUGAACGAAUUUGCGGCCCACCCGUUGUUAAGUGGUUACCGCAGUCAGUAGAUAUUAACAUCGUAAAUGCAGCCACUCACUUUGAGGCAUGAGUUCUAAACCUAUUUUUUACGGUACAACGGCUGUCGCACCAUUCAAACCGAAACGCAUUACUGAUUCACGGCAGAAAUAGGCAGGGCGGUGGUACCUACCCGUGCGGGCUCACAAGGCACCAUGCAACCAGUAAUUACGCAUUUUUCGUGGAUUUGAUUUUUAUUACAAGUACGUACCUACAUAUUUCAUUAAAAAAACCUGCCUACGGGAUUCGAACACUGGCUCCGUCGCAUCGCUCGAUACCAAUGCACCGGGCGUCUUAUCCCACAGGCCAAGGCGACUUAAAUAGCAGUUAAGUUGGGGACACAUUUAUCUUCCUUCAGAGUUAGCGUAGUCUUAUUUAUUGAAGGUAGAUUGUGUCAAUCGUUUUACGAUAUGGUAUGAGGAUACCGAGCAAAACCAAAAAUUCUAAGCACUAGCGUUUUCAUCGGUUUUCGCGAAUCGUUGGCUCUAUUAAAAUUGCUUUUACGAUUUAAGCGUGCUUUUUCUUAUUUUCAUUUCAUUAUUACGACUUACACUAAACUAAUUGUAAUUCUUAUAAAUACUACUAUACUUGACGGGUUGUUACAACGAUUUUCGUAUCGGUACUGUAGGAAGGGCUAUGAUCAUGGGUGGGAAGUUAAAACCUUGGCAAAAACCCUAUAUAUAACGUAGAUAAAUGCGAAAGUUUAAAACAAUUCGUAAGACUAAACAUGCACGAGAUUAAUCUUGUAUAUUUUCCGUUAGAUAAGGCGUAAUAAGAUAAAGAAACCUCCUACACUGACUCAGUAAACAAGAUUAUUUCCGAGGAUAAGCCGGUUUGGUCACUAGCGGCUAGAGGUGUGUCAGCGUAGUUACCGAAUAAAAUUUUAAUAAAAUUC